GUCUUUUUGAUCAUAAUAUAAAGUCUGACCUGCUCAAUGAUAUUUAAUAUUAAAUAGCCGCGAUAAUUUGAUCGUGCAAAGGUAGCAUAAUAAUUUGUUUCUUAAUUAGGAACUGGAAUGAAAGGUCGAACGAGAAAAUGACUGUCUCAAUUUAAUUUUAAUUAAAAUUUUAUUUUUAAGUAAAAAAGCUUAAAUAUUUUUAAAAGACGAGAAGACCCUAUAGAGUUUUAUAUUGAAUUUAUUUAUUUUUAAUUUUAAGAAUUUAAUUUUAAAAUUAAUAAUAAAAUAUUUAAUUGGGGUGAUUGAAAAAUUAAAUUAACUUUUUUUAGUAUUAAACAUUUAUUUAUGAUUAAUUGAUCCAUUAAUAAUGAUUAUAAGAUUAAAUUACCUUAGGGAUAACAGCGUAAUGA
RNAcentral lists this ribosomal RNA (410 nucleotides) under Onthophagus haematopus. Its description in RNAcentral is "partial 16S ribosomal RNA". The stretch from base 1 to 148 matches the Rfam family "Archaeal large subunit ribosomal RNA", at positions 1911 to 2099 of the family's 2987-position model. The record is from RNAcentral. Lineage: Eukaryota; Metazoa; Arthropoda; Insecta; Coleoptera; Scarabaeidae.